CAGAGCAACACUCAUUGAAAUGAUCACCUUGGGUGAGCUUGUAAUACCUCAAUGGCUGGAUGAUGAUCUAAUAGAUCUUCUGGAAAAGCUCCUUACAAAGAAUCCGAGGCGACGGGGAAGCCUUGAAGACGAAUUGGACAACGGAUGGCUGGAAAGGGAGAGAGUCCAGUAAGUGGCACAUGUGGUAAAUUGUACUUGUGUAAUAUCACUAAGAAAUACUUUUAUACCAAUUAAACCUAUGGGGGGGGGGGAAAUAGAAAAAAAAAAUUGGGCAAAGUUUGCAGCUUGGCUAAUAACCAAUAAACAUUGAUCAUUUGUUAGUCAAGUCUUAGGAAACACAUAUCUUAUAGAGUAAUCUUUCUGGAGUUAAUCAUUUUUUCUUUGUUUAAAAGAUUCUAUUCGGCAGAGAUGAUAUGCGGCCUGCAGUUCCUGCACAGCAAGGGGAUCAUCCAUCGAGACAUCAAACCCCUCAACAUCUUGUUGGAUCACAAAGGCCAUGCUAGGAUUUCAGACUUCGGCCUGGCUGUACAAAAUGUCUUUAAAGAUGAUACCAUCACUGGCGAGCACGGAACUCUGGCAUACAUGGCCCCGGAGGUAAGACAUGGAAUUACAGUAUAUUUACAGUAGAAACCAAGAAAAAAUAAAUAGUAAAGGAGAAUAUGGCAAGGACAAAAGGACUGUAUCUAGCUCACCUCUAUCAAAGACAUAUAUACCUACAUGUUAUACAAUUAAGCACUUGAACUUUAUUUAGAUUGAUUUGUUUUUGUAUCUGUGAAUAUGC
This is a long non-coding RNA of Xenopus laevis (African clawed frog), 781 nucleotides long. RefSeq lists it as uncharacterized. NCBI's taxonomy places the organism in Eukaryota, Metazoa, Chordata, Amphibia, Anura, Pipidae. The record is from RefSeq and is a predicted model, not a curated record. The transcript is spliced from 3 exons.